RNAcentral lists this ribosomal RNA (105 nucleotides) under Periophthalmus magnuspinnatus. Lineage: Eukaryota; Metazoa; Chordata; Actinopteri; Gobiiformes; Gobiidae. The record is from RNAcentral.
AGAUGUGGCCAUACCUCCAGCCCAACCUUGUCAGAUCUCAGAAGGUAAGCAGGGCUGGUUAGUACUUGGAUGGGAGACCACUGAGGAUACCAGGUAUCACAGUGG